RNAcentral lists this long non-coding RNA (528 nucleotides) under Setaria viridis. Its description in RNAcentral is "long non-coding RNA (SVIR_LNC009598)". Lineage: Eukaryota; Viridiplantae; Streptophyta; Magnoliopsida; Poales; Poaceae. The record is from RNAcentral.
CAAAUCUUCCACAAUAAUGCAUGAGCAAAGGGACGACUACUUGUACUAUGAGAAACAAGCGAUAACUUCUGCAGACCACUCAUCAAUCGAGUACGAUAACAACUCAAAGAUGCGAUUCCUGAUCAAGUCAGCAGAAGAAAGUACUCUCACAAGAGAACUAGUGGGAAAUACAAAGGCAAAAUUCUCCCAAAAGAUCAUUGUACAGAGACACAAGUUCAGGAGCGAUUACAACCGAAGGGAGCCUAAGACUACUGCAAGUUAACGAACUUGGCUACCUCCUCGGCUAUGGGGUCUAACUCCUCCAAGUAUUGCUUAUACGUCUCGUCCGAACAAUCUGCAGCAACACCUUCCGCAACCAGGGAAAGAUCUGCUUUGGGAUAGAAGGACUUGACGAAUCCUAACAGCUGCUUGGAUAUGGAUUUCGCCAUGCCCUGGAUCAAGCUGGUUAUCUUCCCCGGCGCAUCCCUGAUCCUGUCGAUCAAAGGACGGGGCUCUACUCCGUCCGCAGGGGGCUCCACUAGGUCCGCC